RNAcentral lists this long non-coding RNA (469 nucleotides) under Rattus norvegicus (Norway rat). RNAcentral's name for it is "long non-coding RNA NONRATT000635". Lineage: Eukaryota; Metazoa; Chordata; Mammalia; Rodentia; Muridae. The record is from RNAcentral.
AAGUAAGCUGUACUCAGUUCCUAAUCUGGGUAAACCAUUAAGCUUGGUUGUCUUCUGAAUGGGACCGGAAAUGGGGCCACUGUCACCUUCUUCUGCUUCAGAAGCUGUUUUUACAUCCAGAAGAGAGCGUCACAAACUGCGUAACUUACAAAUGGAAGAACCGUUCUGCAAAGUGCUAGAAGGUUCAACACCUGGCAAGGAACCAGCGUGAACCUGUGUUAGCUCCCCCUAAGACAGAAAGAUUGAGCUGAAGCCAACCAUGUCUUCCUACUUUUGCUCCAAGGAAAGCCCAUUUCUAGAUACUCACCUUGCAGAGAGUCAGAAACCCAGCUUUCGCCAAGAGAGGCUACAGUCGUGGCCGUUUGGAUCAAGAAUCACUUCUCCUUUUAGUGGUCAUUGUAUCCCCCAAGACUUUGCAGAGCAAGGCUAAGAAGUGGGAAUGGAAUAAUUAAAAAGUACUUUCAGAGUC